This 460-nucleotide ribosomal RNA is filed under the name uncultured bacterium. Its description in RNAcentral is "partial 16S ribosomal RNA". It matches the Rfam family "Bacterial small subunit ribosomal RNA", at positions 338 to 795 of the family's 1533-position model. The record is from RNAcentral.
CCUACGGGGGGCAGCAGUGAGGAAUAUUGGUCAAUGGACGCGAGUCUGAACCAGCCAAGUAGCGUGAAGGAUGACUGCCCUAUGGGUUGUAAACUUCUUUUAUAUGGGAAUAAAACAGGGUAUGUAUACCUUUUUGUAUGUACCAUAUGAAUAAGGAUCGGCUAACUCCGUGCCAGCAGCCGCGGUAAUACGGAGGAUCCGAGCGUUAUCCGGAUUUAUUGGGUUUAAAGGGAGCGUAGGUGGGUUGUUAAGUCAGUUGUGAAAGUUUGCGGCUCAACCGUAAAAUUGCAGUUGAUACUGGCAGUCUUGAGUACAGUAGAGGUAGGCGGAAUUCGUGGUGUAGCGGUGAAAUGCUUAGAUAUCACGAAGAACUCCGAUUGCGAAGGCAGCUCACUGGACUGCAACUGACACUGAUGCUCGAAAGUGUGGGUAUCAAACAGGAUUAGAUACCCGAGUAGUC